This 252-nucleotide ribosomal RNA is filed under the name uncultured bacterium. RNAcentral describes it as "partial 16S ribosomal RNA". It matches the Rfam family "Bacterial small subunit ribosomal RNA", at positions 524 to 776 of the family's 1533-position model. The record is from RNAcentral.
UCCGUAGGUGGCAAUCGUUGUCCGGAAUUAUUGGGCGUAAAGCGCGCGCAGGCGGUUAUGUAAGUCUGAUGUUAAAGCCCGGGGCUCAACCUCGGUUCGCAUUGGAAACUGUGUAACUUGAGUGCAGAAGAGGAAAGUGGUAUUCCACGUGUAGCGGUGAAAUGCGUAGAUAUGUGGAGGAACACCAGUGGCGAAGGCGACUUUCUGGUCUGUAACUGACGCUGAGGCGCGAAAGCGUGGGGAGAAAACAGG